GGAUGGGACGACCAGGGUGCCCUAUUCCAUCGGGACUUAAAACUUUGCUUUAAACAUAACUUUUAAUAGGGAUUUUGCCUCUGCAUGCAGUAAUCUCUUUUGACCUUUUGAGUUCUUUAAUAGUUUAACCUUCCAAUUGGUAUCAAAUAUUCAGUUCACAAUGUUACAUGAUUUAAAGGAUGAUCAGGGUAUCUCAAUAUAAGCUAUACCAUUGUGCAUCCAGUGUUUUGAACCCAUUGACUUGGGUCGAACUGAUUUGGUAGCUGGUUAUGAGUUUGUGGUCAGAUUGCUGUUCAACAACGAGUUGACCAAGAUUAAAGGUAAAUACUCUUAUCUAGUAAGAGUCCCCAUCUGUUUUGUAUUAUAUCACAUAAGUAGCUCCGGAAAGGGGACGACUUCUUUUCAAUAAAAAGUAGAAAGAACAACUCUAUAGAAGGAGAGUCAGAACAUCUUAGUCAUUGACUCGUCAACCUUCGGCGGCAGGAUUGUUUCCACUUUGUUCAGCAUAUACUUACUACAGUCAAAGAUAGAUCUCGAGAAAGAAGCAUAUCGCUCGUAAUGAAGGGCAAGCGCUUGUGCUUAGAAUCUAUCUUGUUCGUCUCUCAAUCAAUUAGGUAAUCGAUAAAGAAGAAGAGUUUCCGUGCUCGGCUAUCUUGUGAAACAUCUUAAAGUAUCAUUUCUUUCCAUAUCUGUCUUCUCGACCAAUGUAGACCUUUUCAGCUUCUUCUAACCCUCUAGCGUAGAGGCCAUCUCCACCAUCUCUUAUGCCUGCAUCAUCAUCUCCGUCGUCAUUGAGCCACAAUCUUCUGCUCCAAUUUCUCCAACAUACAGCUAUGCUUCUAUCAAGCUUUGCCAACAUCUCCCCUUUCCUAGAUGACCUUCAACUGGAGGCCUAUCACAUUGCACUCUUUAUUGCCUUCAACUCGAGCUCCAUCGACUAUGCUUUCCUUAAUUAUCAUGUUCAUGUUGAGCACUGCCAACCACCCCCCACUGAAAAGAAAAGCCCUCUAGCAUUGCCGCUCCGUAUCUCCACUUAGCUUCUACUAUUAUUCCUCUCAUUUGCCACUUGAUAACAGUUUCUCUCUUGAUUGUGCACUAUCCAGUCACCAGCAAUCAGGAACUAGUAGUUUGAAAGAAUUUUGGUGGGAUUGAGCAUGAAUUGAAACCAAGACAGGGAUUAAGGCACAUUAAGAAAUUUUGAGGUCAUUUUUUUAUUCAUUUUUCCUUCAUUAAGCGUCAUAAAUAAAGAAAUGACCCCAAUGACAAUAAAUGUAUAAGUAUUUUAUUAUUAUUAUUUUUGAAUCUAUGGUUGGUUUUGAUUAGUUUUGGAUGAAAUUAAUUGAAAUUGACUGCAACUCAGAACUGAACUAUCUAUCUCAGUUUGAUCCAAGGAUUUAGGACUAGGUCUGACUCGUCCUUCUUGGUUGCCCUAGAUUAGGUCGGUGAGACACUUGGUCCUAGGGUGGCUAUGAACCCUAGGUCCAUACGAACUAGCAGUCCUUGUUUGUUCUAGUUGGUACCGGCCUUGAUGGAUUAACAUGGUA
This 1544-nucleotide long non-coding RNA is filed under the name Elaeis guineensis (African oil palm). RNAcentral's name for it is "long non-coding RNA (EGUI_LNC029748)". The record is from RNAcentral. Lineage: Eukaryota; Viridiplantae; Streptophyta; Magnoliopsida; Arecales; Arecaceae.